UGCAAGUCGAACGCUGAAGCACCAGCUUGCUGGUGUGGAUGAGUGGCGAACGGGUGAGUAAUACGUGAGUAACCUGCCCUUGACUCUGGGAUAAGCCCGGGAAACUGGGUCUAAUACUGGAUGCUACAUGUCACCGCAUGGUGGUGUGUGGAAAGGGUUUACUGGUCUUGGAUGGGCUCACGGCCUAUCAGCUUGUUGGUGAGGUAAUGGCUCACCAAGGCGACGACGGGUAGCCGGCCUGAGAGGGUGACCGGCCACACUGGGACUGAGACACGGCCCAGACUCCUACGGGAGGCAGCAGUGGGGAAUAUUGCACAAUGGGCGAAAGCCUGAUGCAGCGACGCCGCGUGAGGGAUGACGGCCUUCGGGUUGUAAACCUCUUUCAGCAGGGAAGAAGCCACAAGUGACGGUACCUGCAGAAGAAGCGCCGGCUAACUACGUGCCAGCAGCCGCGGUAAUACGUAGGGCGCAAGCGUUGUCCGGAAUUAUUGGGCGUAAAGAGCUCGUAGGCGGUUUGUCGCGUCUGCUGUGAAAGCCCGGGGCUUAACCCCGGGUGUGCAGUGGGUACGGGCAGACUAGAGUGCAGUAGGGGAGACUGGAAUUCCUGGUGUAGCGGUGGAAUGCGCAGAUAUCAGGAGGAACACCGAUGGCGAAGGCAGGUCUCUGGGCUGUUACUGACGCUGAGGAGCGAAAGCAUGGGGAGCGAACAGGAUUAGAUACCCUGGUAGUCCAUGCCGUAAACGUUGGGCACUAGGUGUGGGGGACAUUCCACGUUUUCCGCGCCGUAGCUAACGCAUUAA
RNAcentral lists this ribosomal RNA (800 nucleotides) under Kocuria sp. RKEM 639. RNAcentral's name for it is "bacterial SSU rRNA". It matches the Rfam family "Bacterial small subunit ribosomal RNA", at positions 56 to 863 of the family's 1533-position model. The record is from RNAcentral. Lineage: Bacteria; Bacillati; Actinomycetota; Actinomycetes; Micrococcales; Micrococcaceae.